GUGGAUUAGAUACCCGGGUAGUCCACGCCCUAAACGAUGUCAACUAGUUGUUGGUAGGGUUAAACCUAUUAGUAACGUAGCUAACGCGUGAAGUUGACCGCCUGGGGAGUACGGUCGCAAGAUUAAAACUCAAAGGAAUUGACGGGGACCCGCACAAGCGGUGGAUGAUGUGGAUUAAUUCGAUGCAACGCGAAAAACCUUACCUACCCUUGACAUGUCAGGAAUCCCUUAGAGAUAGGGGAGUGCCGCAAGGAACCUGAACACAGGUGCUGCACGGCCGUCGACAACU
Molecule: ribosomal RNA, 289 nt
Filed under: uncultured bacterium
Lineage: Bacteria
Description: partial 16S ribosomal RNA
Rfam family: Bacterial small subunit ribosomal RNA
Source: RNAcentral